This 311-nucleotide long non-coding RNA is filed under the name Homo sapiens (human). Its description in RNAcentral is "non-protein coding lnc-HNRNPA2B1-4:4". The record is from RNAcentral. Lineage: Eukaryota; Metazoa; Chordata; Mammalia; Primates; Hominidae.
UCUCAUCAAAUGACAUAUUUAAAGAUAAAUUAAUUAAAUACAGAAAAGAUGAAGUGCCCUGGGGGCCAGAGUCCAGACAAGUAUUUUGGCACCUCCAAGGACUCGCAGAACACAGAGAGGAAAAGAGAGACCCUGUUAUCUUUCCGCAGGGGUGGCCGUUCAAACUCUCAGAGAUGGAAGUUAAGAUUUCCUUUGGUAUAAGUGGCAGUUUGACUGGCUGCAAGGAGAGCCUCAGUUUGUUUAAUUUGGAGUAAAAUUUUAUGAGUUAAUCUCUAGUGAGGGAAAGCAGCAGUAAACACAGAACAUACUGG